GCUAGUUUUGCUGCAACCCGGGAGAUAAUAACGCGUGGAAAACCGUUCACAGAUGGAGGUACAAUGCAAAGUAGACAUAAAUCAGUGCAUAGCCAGCCUGAGGGACAACUGGCUACAUCAUGGCCUUGUAUGGCAGUUCCACUACCCUCAACCACAAGGUUCUACAGACGGUGGAGAAAACUGCUCAGCACAUGACAAGAAUAGAGCUGUCAUCCAUUGGAGGACCUCUACAGCCAGUGCUGCUGGAAGAAGGCAAACAGGACUGUGAUAGACCCCAGUCACCUCAUUUAGAAAGUGCUGUGUCUACUACUGUCCAACAGACAGCACUGUAACAUCUGGCCCAGGACCACCAAGCUCAGGAAGAGCAUCUUCCUACAGAACAUCAGACUGCUCCCAAGCUCAUCACCAUGACACUUUACUCAAAUUGAAGUGAUGCAUAUGUCACUUUACCUUUGUUCUACAAUCACUUUCUGGUUACUACCUGUUUACAAGUUAUCACAGUAUGCAUAUAUAUCAGUGCAUCAUAUGUCUAAAAUCCCAUUCUUGCUUGUCCAUAACUUGUCAACAUAUUUAAUUUAUCAUCAUUGCUGUACAGCUACAGAUGUAGCAGUUUUCCACACCCUUUUUGUGUAGCAAAACCCAUGUAUCUCCAGAUGUGUUAAUUCUGAAUGUUUCUGAUAAACUGAAGGAUGAAUUGUUCCUUUAUUUGUUAGGAAAGUUCUCCUACUUCUUAAGCCAAAUUAACUCUUUAAAAAGCCUCUUGAAUUAGCGGAAAUAUGCAGUGCGACAAAGCUGACAACAGGCUGUUUUUCUGAGCUCAUGAAAAGUUGAGUUUUUAGAGAUACAAACAUAUGGUGAUCUUAAAGAAUAUGAUGCACUGCUGCAGAUUAAACUAGUGAACAGUAUAUAAAGUAGUUAAAAUGAGCUUGAACACCUACAACAGUAAAAUUCAGCAUACAUUUCAGUGCAGCAGUAAUAAUCCAAAAACAUUAGAUAUACGGUAAAACACUGCCAGCAGUAUUUUCACAGUGUGGUAUUAGUACCACAGGAUCUGAAUACUUCUUGUUUUUACAGAAUCUCUGAGAGGCAAGUGAGAAACAAAAAACUUGUAAUCCUUUUUCUGAUCCAAAGAUCUGAUCUAACUUGUUUUCUUGCCUGGUUUUGGAUCUAAGGAUCUAAAUAUAUUUUUUUUUGUCAGGAUCAGUUGUACUAACAUUAAAAAUAAUUGGAUAUCA
Molecule: long non-coding RNA, 1235 nt
Organism: Scatophagus argus
Lineage: Eukaryota; Metazoa; Chordata; Actinopteri; Scatophagidae
Exons: 2
Source: RefSeq, a predicted model, not a curated record